Molecule: ribosomal RNA, 362 nt
Filed under: Escherichia coli
Lineage: Bacteria; Pseudomonadati; Pseudomonadota; Gammaproteobacteria; Enterobacterales; Enterobacteriaceae
Description: partial 23S ribosomal RNA
Rfam family: Bacterial large subunit ribosomal RNA
Source: RNAcentral
CGAAUGCUGACAUAAGUAACGAUAAAGCGGGUGAAAAGCCCGCUCGCCGGAAGACCAAGGGUUCCUGUCCAACGUUAAUCGGGGCAGGGUGAGUCGACCCCUAAGGCGAGGCCGAAAGGCGUAGUCGAUGGGAAACAGGUUAAUAUUCCUGUACUUGGUGUUACUGCGAAGGGGGGACGGAGAAGGCUAUGUUGGCCGGGCGACGGUUGUCCCGGUUUAAGCGUGUAGGCUGGUUUUCCAGGCAAAUCCGGAAAAUCAAGGCUGAGGCGUGAUGACGAGGCACUACGGUGCUGAAGCAACAAAUGCCCUGCUUCCAGGAAAAGCCUCUAAGCAUCAGGUAACAUCAAAUCGUACCCCAAACC